Long non-coding RNA from Cyprinus carpio carpio, 2541 nucleotides. Lineage: Eukaryota; Metazoa; Chordata; Actinopteri; Cypriniformes; Cyprinidae. The record is from Ensembl.
CACAAACAUUAGCGUUUCUCUCUCGAGGUGUCUUUUGUGGCUUUAUUUAUGGAUUAUUGUGUUUCUCUUUAUCCUUUUCUGUCUUUUGCGUAAUUAUUAUUUUUUUUUCUGUCUAGCACACAAACACUUGGAUCAUGUCCUGUAAUACAGUGAUGCCGUUAUAAAUGGAAACAGAUGCCUCUACCCCUGAGGGGGAUCUCAGGGGCCCACGGCUCUCCGCUCUUGGGAACUACUGUGGGGGAUUGGCCCCCCGCCUCACCCACCAACAACGCUCACCCGAACAGAACACUGUGUGUAGGGCAGAGGCAAGCGGGACGACCUCAGGGCCUCCUAAUAAGCAACAGCAGCCAUGGAGUCGGACAUCUAAAGAGAUCCAGCAACAAUGAUUGUGCAAUGAUAUGGAAAUGACAGCAAAACCUGAGCUCGGUUACCAAACGGCAGCGCUGUGAGGGGAAGCCGUGUCCAAACUCAUUAGGGUUUCUGUAUGUGUCUCUCUUCCCUUUUGCAAGCAUUCCCACUUCUGAUCAGACUGAUUUUUUUUAAUACUUGUGCAUGCGGUGGUUGGAACCUGGCAGGCUUAGUAUAUGUGUUGUGCAACUGGACAGUGAAAAUACCCAAACCCGACUGGGCCCCUUAUCAUGUACAGCACACAAAUUAGGCAAAGCAGCAUCCAUCUGCCACACAAAUAGAGCUCCAACCCGAACCGGCGCUCUGCCAUUGUUCUGGCCGUUCGCCGCCCCUCCCGGAGUAAUUCAUGUGCCCCGCUACUCUGCUCACCCGUCACUGGCUAUUCACUUAAACCUGAAACAUUUCCAUGGGCACAAAGGCUUCAAACAUGGCUGUGACAAAGGAAAGGAUUUCUGCGUUUCUAUUCUUUUCCUCCUCUCUGUAUUUCUCCUUUCUUCAAGACAUUGUGUUGUUUAAUUGGUUGUGCUUGGUAAUUUUGUCUCUUGUCUUCUCCCAUACUGAGUGAUUGUGCGGGGACGGACGUUUGCUUUGACUGGAUCGGACAGUAGUGGGCUCCCUCCCGUAUGCUGGGAGCCAUCUACCUUUGUUAGGUACGCGGAGUUCGGUUCGGGCUCUGUGUGUGGUAAGGUUUGGGAAUCCUGCACGGAUGUCGUGGGAAUGCAGAGGAAACGUCCCUCCUCAUGCCGCUGAAUGAUCGAGAUGACCCCUCUGUGACGUGCUCAAUGAAUUCAUAUCUCCGGUCUUGCUGGUGAUUAAUGAUUCCUGGCGCUUUCAUGCCGAAUCUAUUGAAAAGCCCAGCAGUGAGCCUGUACUGUACAUUUUCUUUGUUGCAGAGACCGUGUGUGUCCUAACAUGUUUUUAAAUGAACUCUAUACUUUGGUGCUGGGCUGCUGGCUGAAAGAACAUCAAGGUUAACAGUCCAUGGAGAGAGUGGAGAGGACGAAGGAGUGUAAGGAAGAAUGAUGGUGGCUUUGUCUGUACAAAAGAGAAGAUAUAUACAUGACAUUAUAAAGUAUAUAACAAAUUGGUUAAAGAAGACAGUGACAGCUGAAGAAACUGCUCUUGUCUGUAUCGUCUUGUACCGAUGACCUUGUCCUGCUCAUCCUUGACUCUGCCCACUCGUCUUGCCAGCCGCUUUUGUUGGAUUUUGAUAGCAGAGAUCGGGAUGGAUGAAUGACGGCCUCCCUAACUCGCCUGUGACUCUUUUGUUUCUGUUCAGAUGAGUUUGAAAAACACACACAGUCCAUUCAGAUACAGGUGUGUGUGUGUGUGUCCUGUGGUGUCAGUCUCUCAGCUGUGAUUACAAUGAGGACUGACCCUGGUGUCGUGGUGAUAGUAGUGCUCUAAUGAACACUAAUGAAUCAGAUGGCUGACAAUGUGAGCACCAGGAAUCUUUUGUGUUCAUGUCACUUCAGUCAUGAUGAAGAGGUGUGUGUGUAUGUGUUGUGUGUGUUGUGCCUGAAGCUAUACAACCAAAUCAAUCUAUCAGCAGAUAAAAGAAUCAUGCAUCACACAGGAGUCCAGGAAUAGAUGCAGAUUUAGAAGAUCAUUUGCUGGGCUAUGCAAAACCUAUGCUAAUUCUCAGUGAUUGCUCUGAUGAGUCAUUUGGGUUUUGUCUUUCUUCUCUUUGUAUGUGGCUCUGCUCUACAUGGGUUUUCUUUGAGUAUUUUGGUAUUCCUUUGUUCAUCCUCAUUGUUGGAUAUAUGUUUCCAUUAGUAAUAACACAGAUUUUUACCUUAGCAAAAGCAGCUUCUCAAAUUAGCUUCAGAAACAAUGCAUUUGUUCGCAAUUACUUAUAUACAGUAUGCAUACACUGGCCUGUUGUGGCUGAUAGACAGAUAUUCAAAUUCUAUUGUAUUUUGUCAAAAUAAAUAAAUAAUAAAAGCACAGAAAACUAAAAUCAGUAAUUUAAAUAAAAGAGCUAAAAAUAAAUCAUAGCAUGCAAUAUUCAUUUGAGAUCUGUUAAAGAUUACAUCUAACAGUGUUAUAAAAUUAUUUAUAUUUUUAAUGUUUAAGAUUAAGGCAUUAGAUGAUGGCAAAGGCAAUCUAAAUGUUAAAACUGGGAAAAUGAGC